AGAGUUUGAUCCUGGCUCAGGAUGAACGCUGGCGGCGUGCCUAACACAUGCAAGUCGAACGAAGCACUCCGAUUCCUUCGGGAUGAAGGGUGACUGAGUGGCGGACGGGUGAGUAACGCGUGGGUAACCUGCCUCACACAGGGGGAUAACAGUUGGAAACGACUGCUAAUACCGCAUAAGCGCACAGUACCGCAUGGUACAGUGUGAAAAGUUUUUUCGGUGUCGAGAUGGACCCGCGUCUGAUUAGCUAGUUGGCGGGGUAACGGCCCACCAAGGCGACGAUCAGUAGCCGGCCUGAGAGGGUGGACGGCCACAUUGGGACUGAGACACGGCCCAAACUCCUACGGGAGGCAGCAGUGGGGAAUAUUGCACAAUGGGGGGAACCCUGAUGCAGCGACGCCGCGUGAACGAUGAAGUAUUUCGGUAUGUAAAGUUCUAUCAGCAGGGAAGAAAAUGACGGUACCUGACUAAGAAGCACCGGCUAAAUACGUGCCAGCAGCCGCGGU
This 506-nucleotide ribosomal RNA is filed under the name uncultured bacterium. Its description in RNAcentral is "bacterial SSU rRNA". It matches the Rfam family "Bacterial small subunit ribosomal RNA", at positions 8 to 521 of the family's 1533-position model. The record is from RNAcentral.